This 374-nucleotide ribosomal RNA is filed under the name uncultured eukaryote. RNAcentral's name for it is "partial 18S ribosomal RNA". It matches the Rfam family "Eukaryotic small subunit ribosomal RNA", at positions 592 to 976 of the family's 1831-position model. The record is from RNAcentral.
UAAUAGUGUAUAUUAAAGUUGUUGCAGUUAAAAAGCUCGUAGUUGAAUGUUGGUGUCGAACGAGCGGUCAGCUUCGGCUGUACUGCUCUCUCGACUCCUUCCUUCUGUGGACUACGUCGCACUUUACUGUGUGGCGCUAGGACGCAGAUCGGUUACUGUGAAAAAAUUAGAGUGUUCAAAGCAGGCCGUACGCUUGAAUACAUUAGCAUGGAAUAAUGGAAUAGGACGUCGGGCCUAUUUUGUUGGUUCUAGGACCGUCGUAAUGAUUAAUAGGGACAGUUGGGGCCGUUUAUAUUCCGUAGUCAGAGGUGAAAUUCUUGGAUUUACGGAAGAUAAACUACUGCGAAAGCAUUCGGCAAGGAUGUUUNCGUUAA